AAAAAAAAGAAGAAAAGAAAAACAUAGAGAAGGUAAAAAGGGGGCGAAAUUUCAUUCAAACCUCUGGUAAAGUAUGAGGAACAACAACUUUAUUAUCUUUCAUUUGACGAUCUUUUCCUUUUUCUACCUGAUAAUUACUCAGUCAAAAACUCCACCAAAACUCGUCAAAAGAGAUGAUAGAACAUAAUGAAAUUGAUCCUCCAUUCUGUUGAUGGAAUUGUAUGUUAGAAAGGAGAGGGUUAUUGAUAGAUGUUGUCACGUUGAUGGAAUGACAAAUAAGAGCUCUUUGUGGGAGUCGGCUGUUCAAUUGCAGGGGUAAAGAGAGGUGGCUGAAGAAACAUGAAUAGCCAACAGAUACUCCGCUAGGUGACGGAAUGAGUGAAUCGUUCUUGAUUCUAAA
Molecule: long non-coding RNA, 400 nt
Filed under: Capsicum annuum
Lineage: Eukaryota; Viridiplantae; Streptophyta; Magnoliopsida; Solanales; Solanaceae
Description: long non-coding RNA (CANN_LNC002463)
Source: RNAcentral